This 451-nucleotide ribosomal RNA is filed under the name uncultured Pseudomonas sp. RNAcentral describes it as "bacterial SSU rRNA". It matches the Rfam family "Bacterial small subunit ribosomal RNA", at positions 931 to 1382 of the family's 1533-position model. The record is from RNAcentral. Lineage: Bacteria; Pseudomonadati; Pseudomonadota; Gammaproteobacteria; Pseudomonadales; Pseudomonadaceae.
GGUGGAGCAUGUGGUUUAAUUCGAAGCAACGCGAAGAACCUUACCAGGCCUUGACAUGCAGAGAACUUUCAGAGAUGGAUUGGUGCCUUCGGGAACUCUGACACAGGUGCUGCAUGGCUGUCGUCAGCUCGUGUCGUGAGAUGUUGGGUUAAGUCCCGUAACGAGCGCAACCCUUGUCCUUAGUUACCAGCACGUUAUGGUGGGCACUCUAAGGAGACUGCCGGUGACAAACCGGAGGAAGGUGGGGAUGACGUCAAGUCACCAUGGCCCUUACGGCCUGGGCUACACACGUGCUACAAUGGUCGGUACAAAGGGUUGCCAAGCCGCGAGGUGGAGCUAAUCCCAUAAAACCGAUCGUAGUCCGGACCGCAGUCUGCAACUCGACUGCGUGAAGUCGGAAUCGCUAGUAAUCGUGAAUCAGAAUGUCACGGUGAAUACGUUCCCGGGCCUU